This 253-nucleotide ribosomal RNA is filed under the name uncultured bacterium. RNAcentral describes it as "partial 16S ribosomal RNA". It matches the Rfam family "Bacterial small subunit ribosomal RNA", at positions 524 to 776 of the family's 1533-position model. The record is from RNAcentral.
UACAGAGGUCCCAAGCGUUGUUCGGAAUUACUGGGCGUAAAGCGUGCGUAGGCGGCGGGGUAAGUCGGGUGUGAAAUCUCAGGGCUCAACCCUGAAAUUGCAUUCGAUACUACUCUGCUUGAGCUCUGAAGAGGAGGUUGGAAUUCCCGGUGUAGCGGUGAAAUGCGUAGAUAUCGGGAGGAACAUCUGUGGCGAAAGCGGCGCACUGGACCACUUCUGACGCUGAGGCGCGAAAGCUAGGGGAGCAAACAGG